AUUGAACGCUGGCGGCAUGCUUUACACAUGCAAGUCGAACGGUAACAGGCCGCAAGGUGCUGACGAGUGGCGAACGGGUGAGUAAUGCAUCGGAACGUGCCCAGGCGUGGGGGAUAACUACUCGAAAGAGUAGCUAAUACCGCAUACGAUCUAUGGAUGAAAGCGGGGGACCGUAAGGCCUCGCGCGAUUGGAGCGGCCGAUGUCAGAUUAGGUAGUUGGUGGGGUAAAGGCUCGCCAAGCCAACGAUCUGUAGCUGGUCUGAGAGGACGACCAGCCACACUGGGACUGAGACACGGCCCAGACUCCUACGGGAGGCAGCAGUGGGGAAUUUUGGACAAUGGGCGCAAGCCUGAUCCAGCAAUGCCGCGUGCAGGAAGAAGGCCUUCGGGUUGUAAACUGCUUUUGUACGGAACGAAACGGCUCUGGUUAAUACCCGGGGCUAAUGACGGUACCGUAAGAAUAAGCACCGGCUAACUACGUG
Molecule: ribosomal RNA, 482 nt
Filed under: uncultured bacterium
Lineage: Bacteria
Description: partial 16S ribosomal RNA
Rfam family: Bacterial small subunit ribosomal RNA
Source: RNAcentral